Fopius arisanus is the source of this 7581-nucleotide RNA transcript. RefSeq lists it as uncharacterized. The transcript has 8 exons. NCBI's taxonomy places the organism in Eukaryota, Metazoa, Arthropoda, Insecta, Hymenoptera, Braconidae. The record is from RefSeq and is a predicted model, not a curated record.
UCAUGGCGUUUUAUGACUUGUCCCUUUAUAUCGCCGAUUAUGAGAAGUAUUUUUGUGAUUAUCACGGCAGAGUGUUGCUAUUGCGCUUACAAAUUGUUUUAAAGUGGUAUAAUCAUUGAUAAAUCGAGUGUUUAACGGUGUGGAUCUUCGUGUUUAUUGGCAAGAAACGUUUAACAAAACCAAUAUCCCUGGGGUCCCUGAAGUUGGUGAAGGAAGGAAGAGGAAAGAAAAAAACUAACUAACGAAAUGGGCGAAGGAAGAAAUUACAAAUAGCCGCUGGAGUUUGGGACCAUAGACAGAGACUUGGUCGGGUUUUCAGACUCAGUGUUGUACUCCUGAGAGGUUCCCGGGCUCCCCUGGUAUUAUGUGAUUGAUGAUUGUCAUGGCGGCCGACAGUGAUGGUGAUCUGAUCGAGACGGUGGUAACGUGCGAGGGCAAUCUAAGUGAUCCAGAGUUUCCCCAGAAAUUUUCCCGAAUAGUAGAUCGGCUGAAUCACCUAAUCUCCCCCCAAAAAGGUGAUGGCCUUUGUGUGAACAAAGUCGAGCCUUGGAAUUCUGUUCGCGUGACUUUUUCCAUCCCCCGAGAGGCAGCUCUACGCUUGCGAGAGCUUGCAACAGAGGGAUCUUCCGCUUUAACGCAACUAGGAAUUCUCUCAGUCCAGAUAGAAGGUGACCAAGUGAUAUCUUUGCGAAUUGCCGGAAGUUUUGGCGGUGAAUCACAGGAGAUUGUUCUCCACUCAACUCCGAGCGAUGAGCACCUCCCCACAAAAGCUCGAAGCGAUGGAAAUGCAAGUUCUUCAUCAAGUGAUGCAGAAAGACCUUUGCCAGGACCAAGUAAUCCCUGCAAAUCUCCCCAAUUUCGGUCACCAAACGUGGUCGCUCCGACAGACUGUGAUCCCAUCCCGUCGUUUCUCACGAAAACUAUUCAGGCAGCGUCAAGCACAGCUGGGCUUACUCAAGCAGUUAACCAGGCUAAUUCAAACACCUUAAAUUCAUCAAAUCCCACUCCAUCACCCCGAAAUAACUACAAUGGACCAUUCCCCUUCGCUAGUAUGACCCAUGCUGCCCAAGCUGCUCAAGGUAUCCAUCGAGAUUCCCAAUCAAUUUCUCAACCUCCAGUUUUCAAACACAACCAACCUCCACCGCCUUACCCAACAACGGCGAAUCAGCCGCAUCAACAACCAGAACCGCAAGCGCUAGUAUCCAAUCAAUUAAAUCCACCAGUAAGUAAAACACUUGCCCUGACAGCUGCAAUAGGUGCUAAUCAAGUAGCACUAUCAUCACCAUUGCUUGUGAAUCUACUUCAGAACGAUGGCAGUGGACAUCCUGGUGGUAGUCAAGGUCAGAAGGUGGUUGCUGUAGAUGCUGGAGCCAGUGUGGGCCGAAUGAAACCAGUAAAAAAACCAAAUGCACGGAGGAAAGAGACGCCAACAGUUACUGGAGUUGCUUUGGGUGAAUUAGAGGCACCUCCACCAACGAGUUUGGAUUCCAUUAGAGCCGAAGAUCUUAUUGGGGCAGUGCCCUUAACCCCCUCGGGCCCCUCUGCUUUUGCCUCAGUACCGCAGAGCAACUCCAGCAGUUCUCCUCAAACUAAUCAAACACACUCACAAGUACAAAUUACACCGAAAUUCCCGAUUAGACAGGAGUUGACUUAUAGAGGUCAGUUGGUGACCACGAGACAUCCAGUGAAUGGUCAAGGAAAUAGGACACCUGCUCAACAACGUCAGAUUAUUCUUCAACACCAGGUCCAAGGACAACAUAUGAUUGUUCAAGGACAGUUAUCUCAGCCCCAAAACCAACAACAGAUGAUUGCUUCUAACUUGAGUGUUGCUCAGCAACGAUUGGGCUUCGUCAAUAAUGGGCCCAAACAGCAGACACCUCCACCAUAUCCACGAAUUAAUCAGUCCGCUACACCAACAUCAGCAAUUCCCACAAACCAACAGACUCCAGUACCACCGCUAAAUCAAGGACAAACACUGAAUAUCCAACAACAAUUGCACCAUAAUAAACUAAAAAACACAAAUGUCAACACAAGUGCUAGUAAUGAUUUUCGUUAUGGACAGAGUCAAAAUAUACUGAGUAGAAAUUAUUCAACCACAGCUGGGACCACAUUAAUAUAUGGUACGUCAAAAAUUUCAGGAAAUAUAUCACAAAAUCAACAGUUAAAUCAAUCAAGAGUUAAUGCUGCAACGGGCUCACUAACGAGUCAGAUUAAUACAGGUGCCUUCAAUCAAGAGUCAAAGAAUCAGAGGAAAAAUAAUUUAACGGCAACAGUGACAACUGUGGCAACAUCAAAUUUAUUGAUUAGUUCACCAAUUAAUGCCACAAAAAACUCAUCAAUAAACACCAAAAGUAUAAAUACCAUUAGAGAAGAAUCAUCAUUGUCAUCGUCGUCUUCUGACCAUAAAGAGAGACAUGAGGAUGAAGAGAGACCUGAACCUGAGUACACGUCAUCAGGCAAAAUUCGACAAUUUUUAAUAAAUCCACUGACUGGACAUUUGGAACCAAUGCCAAGUGAAAGUUCAGAGUCUGAACCCGAGAGCGCUGUUGACAAUCAGGAUGAUUUUUUUUCAUUUCCCUCGCCGUCCAAUGAUCGUUCAAAUUCAAUAUUUUCCGAUGAUGAUGCUGACAGCAACAUGUCUAGACGGAAUGAUACAACUAAUACUGAUCAAUCGGAUUCAGAGACAACGGGUAAAUCAACGGGCAGCGAGGGUAGUUUGAAACACAGAUUAAAAUCUCGGGAUAGCCCAAUGCACGGUGAGAAAAUCAAAUUGAGACUGAAACUAGAAAAGUCAGAACCGGUAACAGCGGCUUAUAAGGUAGACGUUUCGUUUGUUAACACGCCACCGAUCAAGAAAGCUGAUAAAACUAUCAGUAAAAUUUUUGGGGCGACAACUCCUGGGGGCGGGGGCGCUGGUGGAGGAAUAGAUGAGCCGAGGGUGCCACCGUUGCAUAUUUCCUUGAGAGGCAGAAAUGCUUCAGUUGUACAGAUUAGAAAGAAAGAAAAGAAGAUAAUGGCAAGGGACGAUGAUGUUUCCGGGAAUAACAUUGGUGUAAAAAGGAGGGGAAAACUUAAAAAGAUGAAAGAUCCUACUGAUAGUAAUAAAUUUCUGCAAAAAAAGUCCUUGGGCAUGAUAAUGACGACCACCAUGGUUGCCACCACCAGUACUAUUAUUUCAACGGUUUCUGGGGUGGAAGGCAAUCGUCAAGUGGUAGCUGUAGUUAACAGUACCGUUGCUUCUGCGAGUCCUAAUGUCGGAGGAAAUGUUAUGACCAAGGUGAAUAAUUCAAUCCAGGGAAAGAGCAGACAAGAGAAUCUCAUUGAGGGCCAGAGGGGAAUUGUGAACAAAGCAGGUUCGAGCAAGACGGGAGAUGUAGAUGAUAUUCCGUUAAAUAGCAGGAUACCUUCACCUGUUAAGGGAAAAGGACUCGCUGGAGUAGGGAUGGGCAAUAGCCAGGGAGGAAAGGCACAUCUUGAGAGUGAGCUGUCCAAUCACACUAAUGAACACAAAAUUGGUGGAGGAAAAACGAAAAGAAGAGAUUCCAAAAAGAAGUCUGAUUCUGGGGAAGGUCUCCAGCGGGAACAAAACCUCCUCUCAGGCGGUAGAAUUUUGGACAACCAGACAAAGUGGAGAAAACUGGGUUACAAAGGCCCUGGAGCAACCAGUGACCUCCUAGCGAAGAAGGCCCCGAGAGAGCUCUGUGAUACUUCUACUAAAGACACGACAAAAAAAAUUGGGGAGAUUCGUCGAACAAGUGAUAGUGACGUUCGCCUUACCGACAAGACAUGUGUAAUCUCCCGAAUAACCGAAUUCAAUGGGAUGAAAAAAGAUCUUUUGAUUCAGGAGAAGCGUCGUCGUUUGAGCCUCAUGGACGAAAAGGACUUUCAUCUAUCAGACGCUCAAAUUGGUCAAACAACGAUCCAACAUAUGCCACGCGUAUCGAAACUCUUCGAAAAAGAUUCGACCCUUAAGAAUCCCUUGAAAUCACUGAGCCACAUAUCUGACAUACCAGAGAAGCUCCAGAACGAGGACCAAGUCAAGUCAUCGGCUCUCCUUGCCAAAAAAAUCAUCCCCGUGAAAUAUAAAAUCGAUUUAGAAAGCACUAAACCUCUUCAAAAACUGAAAAACCACUCCAUAAUUCAAUCUGAGUCUCAGUCUCCCUCUCAUACUCCCAAGAAAUCAUCUUCUAAUUUUAUAACCGUCUCCAAUACUUCUGCUAUCUCCGUAUCUUCCCCAGCAUCAUCGGCAACUCUAACAAAAAUAAUGGAAUUUAAAUCCGAUCCGAAAGAAAAGGGUCAAAACCUUGAAAGUUCCCCGGAAACAUCAUCCCUUGAUCCCUCCAAGAUUGAUCCACACCCAAAGCCUCAGGACAAAACUGUGGAAAAAGGCGAUACAAAUGUUAUUCCUCUGCUGGACUCAUCGCACGAACGUGUAACCCCCCAAAAUUCUGGAAACAGUGGAAAUACUGGGGAAGAUUCUGGUAUUGAAUCGAUGGACGCUCUCUCCGAAAAAUCACCAAAUCAAGGAGAAUCACCUCUCCAUCGACCUAUGGCUGAAUCCCAAACAGUGAAAAAUGUUCAGCUAACUCCAGUGGAAUUAACAACCCUACAAACUACAAUAAACAAGAACGUGCCUUCCUCAACAAGUGAUAUGUGUUCAACAGUGAAUUCAAAAAUAUUGAAACCUGAAGAUGAAGAUGAUAAUGAGGAUGAUGGUGUUGAUAAUGACGAUGAUCCUUCUCAUCUUCAUCUUGAUAAACAAUCAGACGAAGUAUCUAAUUAUCACGAUAUUUCUCGUAAUGAUGAAAAUAUUAAAUGUGAUGUCCACGAAAAGUCACUGUCAGUAUCAGAAUUACAAACAAAUUAUGAUUCUGGAAGCGUGUCAACAGGUGUUUCUAACGAUUUAUCAAUAAAUACUGGCAAAAGUGGUAUUUGUGAUGAUAACUUUCUUAAUCAAAUGAAUAAGUCUGCGACGAAUGAACCAGUCGAUGAAGAUAAAUUCGAUAAACUGACCAACAUUGAUUCACCAAAAUCCCCUGAGGCUCUUGAAACAACAAGAGACCAGGAUGUGACCUCUCACGUAUUAUCUUCCGAGAUGGCGCCAUUACAAGAAGCUCUUUCUCCACGCUCUGAAAAUACUAAGCAGAGUCAUCAGAGUCACAAAAACAACAACGUUAUUAUUUCGAAAGAGUCCUCCAAAGAAUUUUGUAAUAAGCGAAACGAUCACAAGAGUUCCAGCCUCCAGUUUAUAGACGUUAAACCGUCACUAGACGAUGCGAGACAGGACAAUCUUUUGGUCACAUUGGAACGAUCAGCCGAAACUUCAGAAUUAUCUCUGAUCAAACAUGAAAGUGAUACGAAGUGUCUUGUUAAACGUGAAUCUCCGUUGACGGUUAAAAGUGAUGAUUAUGGUAGUAAAAAAAAUGAAAUGGAUACGAGUGUACCAUCACCAUUGACAGAUGAUCCUCAACCAAUCAGGAUUACUCCACCUCUGUACACUUACUCGAAUCCUGUAGUAUUACAGAGGGAUGAAACGCCUAGUCCAGCACUUCACGGUGUUGAGAGUGUUGAUGCCGAGGCUGAUAAUAUUAAAAGAAAGAGGAGAAGGAAACAGGAGUUGGAAGGGAGACAGGAUGUUAUUUGUAUUGAAGAAGGGGACGAUUUUGUCGAGAGAUUGACACCGAUCAAUCCAAUAACUACAGAGGAUUAUGUGAAGAGACCUGGAAGAUCUCUAUUGGAGCAACUAUUGAUUGAAAUACCUAAUGAUAGUAGUGAGAAAAGAUCUUUGAGGACGAGAUCACAAAAAAUGAAUAGUCCUGAUAUUGUUAAGACACCAAAGAGCAGUCCACAUGGGACCACUGUCGGGAGGUUAAGCGAGGAACGAAGUGAGAGGAGAAGCAUUUCUCCAUAUGCCAAGAUUGGUAGUAAAAUUUGCCUUCCAAAAUUGUCCCCUAAUACUGUUGGCAGUGGCAAAGUAGGAAAAAGAAAGAGGCAGGAGAGUGAGAGCUCAGUUACUUCAGGACCUAAUAUUGAGGACCCACAGACUAGGCCCGGUAAAAGAAAAUGUUCGGAAAAUGCCGAAGUACUCAUUAAGGCUUGCAUGGGAGUCGAUGAGGGAGGACACGUUAAAAAAAUUUCCACCAAGGAUGAAAAAAAGGGCUUCAACAUACUGAGCAAGGCAAAAAAAGCAGGUCCUAUUUUAGUGGAUGUCGAAUCGUCAGAUGAUGAACCUCUUAUGGAGAUCGCUGCUAAGGGAAGGGUGAGAGGAAAUGAUGAAUCUGCAUCACCAAAACACAAAGAUUCCAAAACUUUGAGUACUCCAGUGAGUGGGAGUCAAUUAAACUCAACAAAUGUAUCAAAUUUCAACGCAUCCAGUAGGCUACAAAGAGAGAGUCGUUUAUUAACAACCAAACAACCAGGUAAUAUUAACUCAACAACGGUGGGUAAGGAAAGGCUACGUGGUCCAUCAGUGUCGACUAAUGAGCCGGUCGGGGAAGUAACGACACGAAGAUCUGUUAGACAAAGUGCAGUUUCACCACUCGCUACACCGGCAUGUAAUACGAGAGGUGCCUCCAGAUCGAUGGAAGAUGUUAAUAGGAGAAAAACACGAAGUGGUGCUGUGACGGCCGAGACAGCUGAACAGGCGAAACGUAGGCGAAUAUCUCGUGAAAACAAAUGACCUUCGGGAAGCGACCUUGACAGUGAUUAGCUACCGUCUCUCGUCAAGGCCUGUAUGUAUGAUUAUUUCUCAAAACUGGACGUUGAUUCGAUCGCCGUGUGGCUGGACCCCACCUGGUGAAUCUCGAAGUGUCAAACUAUAAACAAAUGUUGAAAUUAAUGAAGCGUGCAAUAAAUUGAGUUUAUCACACGCAGCCUGCUCAAAACUCGAUUUCUGCAUGCAUUUACAUGAAAUAGUUGGAGCACUUGGGAAUAAAUUUGGUUUUCAACGAAUGUGAAGUUUACAAGCCGAGCCGAAGGUGAGGCCUGUACUCAAAAUAUGUGCCCUUUUACUCUAAUAUACUAUCAUUUACAAUCACAAUUGUAUACAAGAUAAAAAUAUAAUUUUCCAUUGAUUUUCAUAAAAUACAUAAAAACAUUCAAACAAGUGAUCAAUCUCACGAAUUGCGUCAUUACUUCGAUUCUGUCUACAGUUCUAUUUAAAUAUAAAUUAUCGAUUGAAUAAACAAAAAAUGUAAAAUACAGAUUUUUUUGCUGGUUUUUUUAUUCGUAAAUCGAUAGUUAUUGAUCAUGAAUCAAUUAGUUAAUUAAAAUAUAUUGUAUAUAAAGAACUUAAUUCUACUCAGUUAAACAGGAGAAUGAAUAAUCGUAGUUGUACAUAAAAUUUAGUACGUAGAAGAGAAAAAUCAGAAUAGAAUCAAUUGUUCAAUGAUUCUAUCAAGUUAAUUUUCAUUGUUUGAACAUUAUAGCUGAGUGAAAUGAGAUUCAGCGAUAAAAAAACAUACUGAUAAAUGAAGAUGCAUUGUAAUUUUUCUAUGUAAAAUAUUCCGUUUGACACUAGUUAGAUAGGCUAGAUAAUAACUUGAAAAUAACUAAAAGAAAAUAAUUGAUUGUAUAGAAAAA